AUUGAACGCUGGCGGCAGGCCUAACACAUGCAAGUCGAGCGGAUGAAGGGAGCUUGCUCCUGGAUUCAGCGGCGGACGGGUGAGUAAUGCCUAGGAAUCUGCCUGGUAGUGGGGGAUAACGUCCGGAAACGGGCGCUAAUACCGCAUACGUCCUGAGGGAGAAAGUGGGGGAUCUUCGGACCUCACGCUAUCAGAUGAGCCUAGGUCGGAUUAGCUAGUUGGUGGGGUAAAGGCCUACCAAGGCGACGAUCCGUAACUCGUCUGAGAGGAUGAUCAGUCACACUGGAACUGAGACACGGUCCAGACUCCUACGGGAGGCAGCAGUGGGGAAUAUUGGACAAUGGGCGAAAGCCUGAUCCAGCCAUGCCGCGUGUGUGAAGAAGGUCUUCGGAUUGUAAAGCACUUUAAGUUGGAAGGAAGGGCAGUAAGUUAAUACCUUGCUGUUUUGACGUUACCAACAGAAUAAGCACCGGCUAACUUCGUG
Molecule: ribosomal RNA, 484 nt
Filed under: uncultured bacterium
Lineage: Bacteria
Description: partial 16S ribosomal RNA
Rfam family: Bacterial small subunit ribosomal RNA
Source: RNAcentral